CGAGUUGGCUGGGCGGCCGCGGACCUGAUGGUUCGAGGAAAGUCCGGACUUCACAGAGCAGGGUGAUUGCUAACGGCAAUCCGAGGUGACUCGCGGGAAAGUGCCACAGAAAACAGACCGCCACUUCACGGUGGUAAGGGUGAAACGGUGCGGUAAGAGCGCACCAGCAUCCCGGGUGACCGGGAUGGCUAGGCAAACCCCACCCGAAGCAAGGCCAAGAGGCCGCACCUGGUGCGGCUGCGCAGGCGCUCGAGGGUUGCUCGCCCGAGCCUGCGGGUAGGCCGCUCGAGGUACCCGGUGACGGUGUGCCCAGAUGGAUGGUCGCCGCCUCGGCGCCGUGGUAAUUCGCGGCGGUGAGGAACAGAAUCCGGCUUAUAGGCCAACUCGUUCG
Molecule: RNase P RNA, 391 nt
Filed under: Mycobacteriaceae bacterium 1482268.1
Lineage: Bacteria; Bacillati; Actinomycetota; Actinomycetes; Mycobacteriales; Mycobacteriaceae
Description: RNase P RNA component class A
Rfam family: Bacterial RNase P class A
About the family: Ribonuclease P (RNase P) is a ubiquitous endoribonuclease, found in archaea, bacteria and eukarya as well as chloroplasts and mitochondria. Its best characterised activity is the generation of mature 5'-ends of tRNAs by cleaving the 5'-leader elements of precursor-tRNAs.
Source: RNAcentral